UGGGGAAUAUUGCGCAAUGGGCGAAAGCCUGACGCAGCAACGCCGCGUGAGUGAAGAAGGCCUUUGGGUUGUAAAGCUCUUUCGGCUGGGAAGAAGGGUACUGGCGUGAAUAGCGUUGGUAUUUGAUGGUACCAGAAGAAGAAGCACCGGCUAACUUCGUGCCAGCAGCCGCGGUAAUACGAAGGGUGCAAGCGUUGUUCGGAAUUAUUGGGCGUAAAGGGUUCGUAGGCGGGAGUUUAAGUCAAAUGUGAAAUACCCGAGCUUAACUUGGGACGUGCAUUUGAGACUGGAUUUCUUGAGUAUCGGAGAGGGUGGUGGAAUUGCUGGUGUAGGAGUGACAUCCGUAGAGAUCAGCAGGAACAUCGGAGGCGAAAGCGACCGCCUGGCCGAGUACUGACGCUGAGGAACGAAAGCGUGGGGAGCAAACAGG
Molecule: ribosomal RNA, 430 nt
Filed under: uncultured bacterium
Lineage: Bacteria
Description: bacterial SSU rRNA
Rfam family: Bacterial small subunit ribosomal RNA
Source: RNAcentral